Non-coding RNA from Camellia sinensis, 1986 nucleotides. NCBI's taxonomy places the organism in Eukaryota, Viridiplantae, Streptophyta, Magnoliopsida, Ericales, Theaceae. The record is from RefSeq and is a predicted model, not a curated record.
UCAUUAUAUGUCAAAUAUUAGCUAAAUAUUUCAUGUGCCUGUCGAUUUUGUGUUUGUACAAAACCUUCUACUAUUGCACUUCUAUCUCAUGACCACUUUCUUCUUCAUCUUUUUUUCCUGUUCUUUUAUAAUUGCUUAAUGUGAUGGAUUUUCUAUAUAUAUAUAUACAAAAUAAUAAAUAAAAAACGGUCUUUUGCUCAUCUGACUCAAGUUUGCCUUGUCCUAUGCUCUUUGGUGUUGUCUCACAAAAGUUUCAGGAGAACCUAUUGUAAUUUUGUGUGAUGAUCACUUUGCUAUAAUCUUGGGUUUACUAGUUGAUGGUUAUGAAAAGUGAUAGAUCAAUUUCAGUGAUCCUGUCUAUGUUGCAGAUUUUAUGUUCAUUUGUCAUUGUCAGCAUGGUAGAAUCAGAUCUAACCUCUCAAUAGAAGGAAGAUAUGUAUGUAUAGGGUUCUACAUUGUGUUGCAAGAAUGUGUUUGUUCAGAUGGAUUAAAAGUUAUUAGAAUUCUAGAAAAUUUGGGUUAAAAAAAGUUUAUGCUUGAUUGAAUUAGCUAGUGUUUCACAUAAAGACCAUCUUAAAUAACUCUCCAAAAAUCUCGUCCUCUCCGAGACCAGUAAUUGAAAACUUGGAAACUUGAUUUUAUUUUGCUUGAUUGCAUUAAUGAAUAAUUCACACAGAUCAUCUCAAACAUCCAAUAAACUCUUUUCAGUUCCAGUAUAAUCCAUAUCCUUGGAUAAUCCAAAUCCUCUAAAGUUACGUAUUGCUGUAUUUUAUAGAGUAAAUUAUCUAUUGGUUUAGAUAACAAUGUACACUAUAAUUCAUUAUAAGUGUAUAUACCUAUGUAUUUAUUUCUUCAUUUCCAAUCUUAAGCUUAUCCCGUGCACAAUUAUUAACCAAUAAAAAACUUACUUUGUAAGUUAUUGCACAAAUUAACCAUAAAAGAGUCAGACCCCUCGGAUGGGGUACUUACUGGGUCAACUUGUAAGCAAGGUUCAAAAGAGUAGUAGUUAAUUAAUGCCAUUAAGGAGGAAGCUCAUCUAAUGGAUAUACCAAUCCAGCUAGGCUCUACAAAAAUGUUCUGGGCAACAAUCUUUGCAUUUACUCGAUUUUUACUAGAAUACUCACUGAUAGUACAGCUGAUGUACUUCAUACAGCAAGAUAAUUACUAUGAGGGAAUUAUUUCGGUGUUUUGGAUGAGGAAUUCUGAUAUCUAUUCAAGUGUUUCUGUAUCCUAUUUGUGCUAAAUCUUGUGGUAUUUUUCAAAUGAAAGAACAUAAUUCUUUGGCCAACAAUGACAUUAGUUUCUGCAUUUGUUUGUUUAUCGAAAUUCUUGUUUUCUCUUCUGAAUUCUAACAUUGUUUGAAACUUGUGAUUGAUAAUGGGAGAUUGGUCAGGACUUGGUGCGCACAUCAAAAAUCAGUGACUUGCUUGACAUUUUCCAGCGAUGAUUCAUUUCUUAUUUCUGGUUCAGAAGAUGGCAUGAUCAUUAUUUGGCCUAUGAUCGGGAAAAAUAAAUAACUGACUUUGUAAUCACAUUGUUUGGUGGAAGUUUGGUAGACGAGACAGAUUGUUGGACUGUGGGUUUAAAACUAAAUUUUUCGUUGGAACUUUCAUCCUCUAUAACGGGCCUAUUAACUGCAUCAAGUGGUUCAAGUUUAAUUUUUUUUUAUCACGCUCCCUCGAUGGCACAUGCAAGGUAUGGGACCUUGUUAUUGGAAGACUUUUACAAACGCGAGCUUUUCUACUACCAAUUACUGCAAUAGUUGUUGAUCCAACAAAGAUGAAGUUAUUUUCUGGUGGUAUAGAUUACUAGUGGAUAUUUUCUUUUUGUAUACGGAGGACAUCAUUUUUGUAUGAUUAUCUAUUUGUAUGGAAUUAUUAUUUUGGGUUGGAUUAUAUUUGGUUUGUAUAGAAUUUGAUGUUACAAGACCAAAUUUUUGGAUGGUUGAAAGUGAAAUAGAAAUAGACAUAUUUAUUGUUUUGUUUA